This 387-nucleotide ribosomal RNA is filed under the name uncultured bacterium. RNAcentral's name for it is "bacterial SSU rRNA". It matches the Rfam family "Bacterial small subunit ribosomal RNA", at positions 29 to 416 of the family's 1533-position model. The record is from RNAcentral.
AUUGAACGCUGGCGGCAUGCCUUACACAUGCAAGUCGAACGGCAGCACGGGAGCAAUCCUGGUGGCGAGUGGCGAACGGGUGAGUAAUAUAUCGGAACGUGCCCGGUCGUGGGGAUAACGUAGCGAAAGCUACGCUAAUACCGCAUACGAUCUACGGAUGAAAGCGGGGGGAUCGCAAGACCUCGCGCGAUUGGAGCGGCCGAUAUCAGAUUAGGUAGUUGGUGAGGUAAAGGCUCACCAAGCCGACGAUCUGUAGCUGGUCUGAGAGGACGACCAGCCACACUGGGACUGAGACACGGCCCAGUCUCCUACGGGAGGCAGCAGUGGGGAAUUUUGGGACAAUGGGCGCAAGCCUGAUCCAGCAAUGCCGCGUGCAGGAUGAAGGCC